AAGAGUUUCUCCUGGGGAAAAAGAAAAUAAUUCUGUUUGAUGUAACAUCAACCACUUGAAGAAGACUGGAGUUUCUAAACAUAAAUGUGGAACCAUAAAGGCCUGCUUCAAAGUAAGGAGAAAUAAGGGCACAUUUGUGGCUCUGGAGUAAAAUAAGAUAAAUUCCUCGUUUGGGAAAAGGCAGGGGCAAAUGUUGUCUUAAAGGUUAGUUUGUUUCCAUUAUUUUAGAAGAACAGGUUGACCCAUAACUACCCAGCUUUCACACUGCUGGAUCUGUCAUGUGCUAAUAAUUAUAGUUUAUUUUUUCAAAUCAUUUAAAGAGGUUUGAAUGGAUUAAGACUGGCUUCUAGAGAACUACUUUUCUGUAUACAAUUGGUUAAAAACAUGUAAGGUACUAUGUAUACAUCACACACACAUAUAUAGUAACAUGUUGAUUUAUACAUAUAUUGUAUGUAGUAACAUGUUGAUGUAUACAUUUCAGUUACCAAAAUUAAAAAUGUUGCCAAAACUGAAGUGGCCAUUUUUCCUGCCAACUAAGAGUCAACAUAUAAUAAUUAAAUCCUAUUUCAAGUUUUAUUGUGUAAAGACAUCAUAAGUGAGCCUUAUUCAAGAAUAAUAUAGAGACAUUAAAGCACAUAAACAAAACUUCUGUAAAGAAGAUCUUAACACAAUUUCUAAAUUGUAGUUUGUAAGUACUGAGAUUUUCUGAAAAGAGGGCAUCUUCAUUUCCCUUGUAAUGGCCCUGUCUCAUCAAUGUGGUUUGUUUAAAGAAACCUCACCCUAAGAAUUCCAGCUUGAGUAGUUUUCAGUUGGAACAAUAUAAUGGAUUUAUGCCUUCCUGUGUUAGAAUUCUAACCACUUAUAAGAAUAGUUUCACAGCUAUUUCAGUUCUGAAAUAAAAGAUUUUUAUUUUAGAAAUAAUAAAAAUUAUUUUUAAAGUACACAUAAAUAUUUCUGACUUUUACAUUCUUCUCUUUUAAAAUCAGAUGUUUAAGAAUAAUGUUACUGACCAUAAACAAAAGGUGGAAGCCAUAAUUAAAAACAUGAACACAGUUUCUUUGGAGUUGAAGAAAAUGAGAGAGCUCUCCCAGUUGCUGCUUUGUGACCUCACUCUGCAGUUUAGUGAUCCUGUGAAUACAGAGGACUUCAAGGAAACAGAAAGAAAUGACUCCCUGUCUGAAAAGUCUGAAAUACCAGAUGCAUCUCUUGCUUCUAACAGUUUCUCUAUCUGAUUUAUUUUUUAGUUAUUAUGAGUUCAUGGUGUUUUUCAUUGUUGAAUUAGCAAAUAUUUGGGGGGAUUAAAUUUACUAAAAUACUUAAUGUAAUUAAAAGCAGCAAAAUUAAUACAGUUGUAAAUAAAUAUUUCAUUUUCUUGAAGGCUCUUUCGUUGUUGUUGUAAUGUUUGAAGGAUGGUUGAUUUGUUUUACUAAAGGCAAGAGUAUGACAUUGAGAUUUGGCCAUGAGGCAUUACUUAUCCUUUAUGCUUGAAUUUGCCUUACUUUAGCAGAGUUACUAUAUUAC
Chinchilla lanigera (long-tailed chinchilla) is the source of this 1521-nucleotide long non-coding RNA. The record is from Ensembl. Lineage: Eukaryota; Metazoa; Chordata; Mammalia; Rodentia; Chinchillidae.